GUUAUAGGGUCAAGCGAACAAGUGCAUGUGGUGGAUGCCUUGGCGAUCACAGGCGAUGAAGGACGCGGUAGCCUGCGAAAAGCUACGGGGAGCUGGCAAACAAGCUUUGAUCCGUAGAUGUCCGAAUGGGGAAACCCACUCCGUAUGGAGUAUCCAUGGCUGAAUACAUAGGCCAUGUGAAGCGAACGCGGUGAACUGAAACAUCUAAGUAACCGCAGGAAAAGAAAUCAACCGAGAUUCCCAAAGUAGUGGCGAGCGAAAUGGGAUGAGCCUUGUACUCUUUAUUUGUAUUGUUAGCCGAACGCUCUGGAAAGUGCGGCCAUAGCAGGUGAUAGCCCUGUAGGCGAAAAC
RNAcentral lists this ribosomal RNA (351 nucleotides) under Burkholderia ubonensis. RNAcentral's name for it is "bacterial LSU rRNA". It matches the Rfam family "Bacterial large subunit ribosomal RNA", at positions 1 to 386 of the family's 2925-position model. Lineage: Bacteria; Pseudomonadati; Pseudomonadota; Betaproteobacteria; Burkholderiales; Burkholderiaceae. The record is from RNAcentral.